GAUGAAGAACGCAGCGAAAUGCGAUACGUAAUGUGAAUUGCAGAAUUCAGUGAAUCAUCGAAUCUUUGAACGCAUAUUGCGCUCUUUGGUAUUCCGAAGAGCAUGCUUGUUUGAGUAUCAGUAAACACCUCAAAGACUUCAAUUUGUUUUGAAUGGCUUUGGACUUGAGCAAUCCCAACACCAGUCUUUACGAUCGGUGGAGGGUUGCUUGAAAUGCAGGUGCAGCUGGACAUUCUCCUGAGCUAAAAGCAUAUUUAUUUAGUCCCGUCAAACGGAUUAUUACUUUUGCUGCAGCUAACAUAAAGGGAGUUUGACCGUAUUGGCUGACUGAUGCAGGAUUUCACAAGGGUCGGCAACGAUUCUUGUAAAACUCGAUCUCAAAUCAAGUAAGACUACCCGCUGAACUUAAGCAUAUCAAUAAGCGGAGGA
Molecule: unclassified non-coding RNA, 429 nt
Filed under: soil metagenome
Description: partial contains 5.8S ribosomal RNA, internal transcribed spacer 2, and large subunit ribosomal RNA
Rfam family: 5.8S ribosomal RNA (bases 1-120)
Source: RNAcentral